UAAUGUUUGUGCUCUCUUUUAUUGUUAGGGAUUGAACUUAGUUCAUAGAAUUGACUAUCAUUGUGAGCCCUCUUCCUUUCAUACCAGGCAUCUUUAUUCCAAUUGUCGCAUUAUCUGGGUUCUCCAGUAUGUAGAGGUAAUUAUUAAUUGCCUAUAUGUUGUAAUCAUUAGAGACAUAUUAUCUUUAUAAAGUAAUUCAGAUCAUUAUAUUCCUUCUAUAUGUCUUGGGGCUCCCUACAUAGAUGUUUGCUUUUUCUUUCCCCUUCACAGUUUUCGAUUUACAUGUCUCACUAUGGGAAAGGCACUUCAAGUUCAUUCUAAUAUUUUCAGCAGAUGACCUAUGUUUCUCGCGUUUUAAGAUUAUACAGCGACAACCUUGCUUGACCCUCGCUCUGAUGAAGAGGCUCCACCCUAUAUAAGCCUCGAAACGUUGGCACGUCUGUCUUUACUGCAAUAGACAGCUUUCUAAGGGGGUGUUUUCUAUACGCAAUUUUUCGUCGCUAUUAUAUAUUGUUUUCUAUGUUUUGUUAUUAUCCUUGUAAUUUUUGAUGUUUAAAGUUGUUUGACCUCUGUAUGCCCGGAUUUGCUUGCCCCUUUUCUUGGUCAUAUUGGAUGCUUUUACUACAUUUUGUAACUUUGGCCUUGAUGUGUUGUUCACUUUAACAACACUGAAUAAAAUGUGAUACUUUGUGACAA
Molecule: long non-coding RNA, 696 nt
Organism: Rana temporaria (common frog)
Lineage: Eukaryota; Metazoa; Chordata; Amphibia; Anura; Ranidae
Exons: 2
Source: RefSeq, a predicted model, not a curated record